Long non-coding RNA from Bombyx mori (domestic silkworm), 337 nucleotides. RefSeq lists it as uncharacterized. The transcript is spliced from 2 exons. The record is from RefSeq and is a predicted model, not a curated record. NCBI's taxonomy places the organism in Eukaryota, Metazoa, Arthropoda, Insecta, Lepidoptera, Bombycidae.
UUUUCAUUGAUUUUUGCGAGAUUUUGACGAAGAUUCUUUUUAUAAAAACUAUUAUACUUGUACGGUUUAAAAUUGCUUUUUUUACUGCCGAAGUUUCGAAAAGUUUACAAUUUUCUUGGACGCAGAUGACUUUUACAUAUGCAUGGCUUCUGAUACAACAAAUUAGAUUUGCUGUCAACGCGACGCAGAGAGCUUACGAUUACGGAAUCAUUUGUGAAAGAAAAUAAUUUUGUUAAUUUUUUUGUUUUUUGUUGCAAUUUAUAAAAAAAUAUCUGUGCGUUUUGAUUGCUGGUUUCAAGUAAGAAGUUACGCUUUUAAAUAAAGAACAUAUGCUUUA